ACGUAGGGGGCAAGCGUUAUCCGGAUUUACUGGGUGUAAAGGGAGCGUAGACGGCACGGCAAGCCAGAUGUGAAAGCCCGGGGCUCAACCCCGGGACUGCAUUUGGAACUGCUGAGCUAGAGUGUCGGAGAGGCAAGUGGAAUUCCUAGUGUAGCGGUGAAAUGCGUAGAUAUUAGGAGGAACACCAGUGGCGAAGGCGACUUGCUGGACGAUGACUGACGUUGAGGCUCGAAAGCGUGGGGAGCAAACAG
RNAcentral lists this ribosomal RNA (251 nucleotides) under uncultured bacterium. RNAcentral's name for it is "partial 16S ribosomal RNA". It matches the Rfam family "Bacterial small subunit ribosomal RNA", at positions 525 to 775 of the family's 1533-position model. The record is from RNAcentral.